UACGGAGGGUGCAAGCGUUAAUCGGAAUCACUGGGCGUAAAGCGCGCGUAGGCCGCCUUCUAAGUCGGACGUGAAAGCCCUCGGCUCAACCGAGGAACUGCGUUCGAAACUGGGAGGCUUGAGUCCUGGAGAGGGUGGCGGAAUUCCGGGUGUAGGAGUGAAAUCCGUAGAUAUCCGGAGGAACACCGGUGGCGAAGGCGGCCACCUGGACAGGUACUGACGAUGAGGCGCGAAAGCGUGGGGAGCAAACAGG
RNAcentral lists this ribosomal RNA (253 nucleotides) under uncultured bacterium. RNAcentral's name for it is "partial 16S ribosomal RNA". It matches the Rfam family "Bacterial small subunit ribosomal RNA", at positions 524 to 776 of the family's 1533-position model. The record is from RNAcentral.